CCCUGGUUAGCUCAGUUGGUAGAGCGCUCCACUUGUAAUGGAGAGGUCCCGGGUUCGAUACCCGGACCAGGGG
RNAcentral lists this transfer RNA (73 nucleotides) under Ixodes scapularis (black-legged tick). It matches the Rfam family "tRNA". Rfam says of the family: Transfer RNA (tRNA) molecules are approximately 80 nucleotides in length. Their secondary structure includes four short double-helical elements and three loops (D, anti-codon, and T loops). Further hydrogen bonds mediate the characteristic L-shaped molecular structure. tRNAs have two regions of fundamental functional importance: the anti-codon, which is responsible for specific mRNA codon recognition, and the 3' end, to which the tRNAs corresponding amino acid is attached (by aminoacyl-tRNA synthetases). tRNAs cope with the degeneracy of the genetic code in two manners: having more than one tRNA (with a specific anti-codon) for a particular amino acid; and 'wobble' base-pairing, i.e. permitting non-standard base-pairing at the 3rd anti-codon position. The record is from Rfam by way of RNAcentral. Lineage: Eukaryota; Metazoa; Arthropoda; Arachnida; Ixodida; Ixodidae.